Long non-coding RNA from Leptinotarsa decemlineata (Colorado potato beetle), 1855 nucleotides. NCBI's taxonomy places the organism in Eukaryota, Metazoa, Arthropoda, Insecta, Coleoptera, Chrysomelidae. The record is from RefSeq and is a predicted model, not a curated record.
ACCUCAAAGACGGAAAUAAGGAAGGCGGCGGACUCCAAAUCUAAAUUUAGCGCUGUUUCUCACCUGCCGGUAAAACAGGGCGCCAUUGUUCAACUUAGCACGUGCUCCUUCAGCUGACAGAUGCAGGGUUUCCGAAUCCGGUCCGACUGCGUCUUAUAUUUUGGAAGAUACAGGGUGUCUUGAGAAUAACGAGCCCAACUCGUUGAGAGGAUUUGCAUGCUUGUGAUAGCAUGUGAUUCAUAUUGUGACAAUUUUUGUGAAUUAAUUCAAGCAAAUAAGUAUGUAUGAUCAAAUAUGAACAGAGUGUUCCCUUUUUUAAUGGAACCACCCCCAAGACUCUGUUAAAUAUACGAUUACGAUAAACCAAAAUUCUACAGUUUGAUCAAUAAAAAAUUACUAGUUCUGUAUUGACGUACUGUUUCAAAGAAAGUAAUAAUAUGAAAUUAUGAAGAGAUAAUUGAAGAUCACAAUCAAUCACUUAAAAGUGAAGGUUGGCCUCCUCCAGCAUGUAUUUUUUCACCCAACCUUCUUCAGUGCAGUUCAGUCAAGUGUUUAGAAUCGGCAUAUCAUAAAAAAUCGAUGAAACGAUUUAAAAAACCUAUUUAAAAAAAUAAAGUUAAUGAUGAAAUGUAAUGAACGAAACGUCGCAUUGUAAAUAGGUUGUAAUGAGAUCAUAGCAAAUAUGAAAGUUCCUCUACCUUUUUUUAUAUCAUUCGAAGUGGAGGAGGUAAAACCAUAAAUUGAGUUCGACAAUUAUAGUUUUUAGCACAUAUUUCGAAAACAACCACUGAUAUUUCCGAUCUAAAAAAAGAGUGUUCUAAUUCCCAAAAUGGGAAACUUUUGUCAAAUUUAACCGGCCUUGCUUCUUCCAUCUGAUGGUGAAAAAAAAAGUCAUUUUGUGUUUUUCAACAGCGCACUUGGUUUUUCCAUUGUGAUUUUGUCACUAAUGUCAAAAUUGGGUUUUGAUUCCCAACUAUUGGAGCUCAUAACCAUUCUUAAUUUCAGUAUUUAGAUAUGAAAAUCCAAUUUUGAUAUUUUUAAAACGGGUACUCCCAGUUAAUUUUAAUAUUGGGAAUGAGAAUUUGGAUAUUAUGGAACCAAAUAAUGAAUACAUUACUGUAAAACACAUAUGGUGUUUUUUUCCCAUUAUCAAAUGAAAGAAACAACUUGAAAUCAAACAUAAAUAAAACCUUUCGGAAAAAUUUUCAGGGUUUAAGUUAUGAGAAUGUACUAUUUUCAACUUAGUUUUUGAGAUUUUUUGGAAUAUAUUUAAGGAAAAAAUUCUUAUGGGGAAAGUGGAAGUGAAUAUGAAAUCUAUAUUCAUUUACAUUAUUCCUGAUAUCAUUUCUGCAGAAAAUGAACGCUCUUACUCUUUUUAAGAUUGUACACCAAUGCAAAUUUUAAUUUUUUGUUAACUUAAUUGUAGUAUUUUGGCAUGUCCACCGAAAUGUCCACCAACUGUACAAAUUUGUCAGAAAUGAUAUAACAUCAACAGAGACCUUGAAGUGACUCCAUUAAAAAUGUGACAGACUGUAAUGUAAAUUUAUCCUUAUCAUUGUUUUCGAAAGUGAAAAUAGGAAUUUAUACAAGACACCCUGUUAUAUAUAUUAUAGCUGCUCAAGUUCCAGGUAGAAGGCAUUUUCAUCGAAUGGAAGUCAAACCGGGAUCGAUACGGGUGAAAAUCUUUUAAGGUGGAAGAUGAUCUUGUUUCCAUUUCAAAAAUGUCGGAAGGUUCCACCAAGAAUGAUGUGUAGAUGAAUAGAAGUCAUAGGAGAUGUGAAAGGGGAAAAAUGUUGGAUGAUCAAAAUUCAUGAAAAAUGUUGGCAAAGAAGAUUUAUAUUUUCCUGUUUGGCAU